UACGGAGGGUGCAAGCGUUAUCCGGAUUCACUGGGUUUAAAGGGUGCGUAGGUGGGCAGGUAAGUCAGUGGUGAAAUCUCCGGGCUUAACUCGGAAACUGCCAUUGAUACUAUCUUUCUUGAAUACCGUGGAGGUCAGCGGAAUAUGUCAUGUAGCGGUGAAAUGCUUAGUUAUGACAUAGAACACCAAUUGCGAAGGCAGCUGGCUACACGAAUAUUGACACUGAUGCACGAAAGCGUGGGGAUCAAACAGG
This 253-nucleotide ribosomal RNA is filed under the name uncultured bacterium. RNAcentral's name for it is "partial 16S ribosomal RNA". It matches the Rfam family "Bacterial small subunit ribosomal RNA", at positions 524 to 776 of the family's 1533-position model. The record is from RNAcentral.